This is a long non-coding RNA of Lynx canadensis (Canada lynx), 118 nucleotides long. RefSeq lists it as uncharacterized. Lineage: Eukaryota; Metazoa; Chordata; Mammalia; Carnivora; Felidae. The transcript is spliced from 3 exons. The record is from RefSeq and is a predicted model, not a curated record.
CAACAGAGUCACCCAGGCUCCCGGAGGGUUGGUAAUUUAAAUAAGGCAAGUUGACGUCAGCCUCAUUAAGAAAGUGAAUAUUUGGGGGCGCCUGGGUGGCGCAGUCGGUUAAGCGUCC